RNAcentral lists this ribosomal RNA (498 nucleotides) under uncultured bacterium. Its description in RNAcentral is "partial 16S ribosomal RNA". It matches the Rfam family "Bacterial small subunit ribosomal RNA", at positions 29 to 523 of the family's 1533-position model. The record is from RNAcentral.
AUUGAACGCUGGCGGAAUGCUUUACACAUGCAAGUCGAGCGGCAGCGCGGGGCAACCUGGCGGCGAGCGGCGAACGGGUGAGUAAUACAUCGGAACGUACCCUGUCGUGGGGGAUAACGAAUCGAAAGAUUCGCUAAUACCGCAUACGACCUGAGGGUGAAAGUGGGGGAUCGCAAGACCUCACGCGAUAGGAGCGGCCGAUGUCGGAUUAGCUAGUUGGGGGGGUAAAGGCUCACCAAGGCGACGAUCCGUAGCGGGUCUGAGAGGACGGCCCGCCACACUGGAACUGAGACACGGUCCAGACUCCUACGGGAGGCAGCAGUGGGGAAUUUUGGACAAUGGGGGCAACCCUGAUCCAGCCAUUCCGCGUGAGUGAAGAAGGCCUUCGGGUUGUAAAGCUCUUUCGGCAGGAACGAAACGGUCCUAGUUAAUACCUGGGGCUAAUGACGGUACCUGAAGAAGAAGCACCGGCUAACUACGUGCCAGCAGCCGCCGUAA